UACGAAGGGGGCUAGCGUUGCUCGGAAUUACUGGGCGUAAAGGGCGCGUAGGCGGAUAUUUAAGUUGGGGGUGAAAUCCCGGGGCUCAACCUCGGAAUUGCCUUCAAAACUGGAUAUCUUGAGUCCGGGAGAGGUGAGUGGAACUGCGAGUGUAGAGGUGAAAUUCGUAGAUAUUCGCAAGAACACCAGUGGCGAAGGCGGCUCACUGGCCCGGUACUGACGCUGAGGUGCGAAAGCGUGGGGAGCAAACAGG
RNAcentral lists this ribosomal RNA (253 nucleotides) under uncultured bacterium. Its description in RNAcentral is "partial 16S ribosomal RNA". It matches the Rfam family "Bacterial small subunit ribosomal RNA", at positions 524 to 776 of the family's 1533-position model. The record is from RNAcentral.